RNAcentral lists this ribosomal RNA (896 nucleotides) under Austroboletus subvirens. Its description in RNAcentral is "LSU rRNA". It matches the Rfam family "Eukaryotic large subunit ribosomal RNA", at positions 78 to 949 of the family's 3401-position model. Lineage: Eukaryota; Fungi; Basidiomycota; Agaricomycetes; Boletales; Boletaceae. The record is from RNAcentral. RNAcentral also lists the same sequence under 1 other name.
CCCUAGUAACUGCGAGUGAAGAGGGAAGAGCUCAAAUUUGGAAUCUGAUGGCGUGACGGCCGUCCGAGUUGUCAUCUAGAGAAGUGUUCUUCUGCGCUGGGCCGUGUACAAGUCUCCUGGAAGGGAGCAUCACAGAGGGUGACAAUCCCGUCUUUGACACGGAGAAGCCAGGGCUUAUGUGAAGGCGCUCUCAACGAGUCGAGUUGUUUGGGAAUGCAGCUCUAAACGGGUGGUAAAUUCCAUCUAAAGCUAAACAUGGGCGAGAGACCGAUAGCGAACAAGUACCGUGAGGGAAAGAUGAAAAGAACUUUGGAAAGAGAGUUAAACAGUAUGUGAAAUUGCUGAAAGGGAAACGCUCGACGUCAGUCGCGUUGGCUUAGGGAUCAACCUUGCAAGUCGCAAGACUUUGCUGGGUGUACUUCCUGGCUGACGGGUCAACGUCAGUCUCGUUCGCUGUAGAAGGGCUGGAGAAAGGUAGCACUCCUAGGAGUGUGUUAUAGUCUUUGGUCGAAUGCAAUGAAAGGGACUGAGGAACUCUGCACAGACCAGGGAGGACUUGUGCUUUGGACGUUGGCAUAAUGGCGUCGAGCGACCCGUCUUGAAACACGGACCAAGGAGUCUAACAUGCAUGCGAGUAUUUGGGUGGCAAACUCGAGUGCAGAAUGAAAGUGAAGGUCGAGACCUCUGUCGUGGGGGGCAUCGACGCCCGGACUAGAGUCCCAUGGGACAAAGGCUCUGCGGUAGAGCAUGCAUGUUGGGACCCGAAAGAUGGUGAACUAUGCCUGAAUAGGGCGAAGCCAGAGGAAACUCUGGUGGAGGCUCGUAGCGAUUCUGACGUGCAAAUCGAUCGUCGAAUUUGGGUAUAGGGGGCGAAAGACUAAUCGAACCAUCUAGUA